This 1032-nucleotide ribosomal RNA is filed under the name Choanocotyle hobbsi. RNAcentral's name for it is "partial large subunit ribosomal RNA". It matches the Rfam family "Eukaryotic large subunit ribosomal RNA", at positions 294 to 940 of the family's 3401-position model. Lineage: Eukaryota; Metazoa; Platyhelminthes; Trematoda; Plagiorchiida; Choanocotylidae. The record is from RNAcentral.
GGGUGGUAAACUCCAUCCAAGGCUAAAUACUAACACGAGUCCGAUAGCGAACAAGUACCGUGAGGGAAAGUUGAAAAGUACUUUGAAGAGAGAGUAAACAGUGCGUGAAACCGCUCAGAGGUAAACGGGUGGAGUUGAACUGCAAGCUUUGAGAAUUCAGCUGGUGAGUGUGGGUUGAGCUUGGUCAAUUUGGUGAACUCCGGGGUCUGCGUAGUAGCAGGUCUCUGCCUUCGGGUGGGGAUGCGCGAUGCACUUGUCAAGUGUUGUGCGCUCUGGUUGUUCUUCGGCCUACUCGCCAGUGCAUUUUCUCGGAGUGGUCACCACGACCGACACCGCUGUCUGGCUGCUAUGGUUAAACCGGUCUUGCAUUGUCCUUGUGGCUUUGCUUAGUCGGGAUGGCAGGUAGCUCGUUGACUUGCUUGUGGCUUGCUGCAGGCGUUUGGUUUUCGAGUGUAAUCAGCUGACUGUAGUGGUUCUGUGCAGUGUGUCGGAGACGGCGGCUUGAGGUGUGUGCAUGCGUUCCUGUUCCGCUGACUUGUCCGGGUUUGGUUAUUAUGUUGCCUGUUCAAGCAGGCCUAGUGAUAGCUCGGAUUCGUUCGGUGGGCGGUUGCGUGUGUGGCACUAUCCAAGGGCCAACAGUCUGUGGUGUAGUGGUAGACUUUCCACCCGACCCGUCUUGAAACACGGACCAAGGAGAGUAACAUGUACGCGAGUCAUUGGGCGUUACGAAACCCAAAGGCGCAGUGAAAGUAAAGGUCUGACUCGUUCAGACUGAGGUGAGAUCCUGUCGUUUCUCACGCGUGGUACUUCCAAGCAUCGAGCGGCAGGCGCAUCACCGGCCCGUCCCAUGGCAGUUGUUUUCGGGCAGUUUUCGGUCGGGGCGGAGCAUGAGCGUACAUGUUGAGACCCGAAAGAUGGUGAACUAUGCUUGCGCAGGUUGAAGCCAGAGGAAACUCUGGUGGAGGACCGCAGCGAUUCUGACGUGCAAAUCGAUCGUCAAACGUGAGUAUAGGGGCGAAAGACUAAUCGAAC